AGCAGCCGCGGUAAUUCCAGCUCCAAUAGCGUAUAUUAAAGUUGUUGCAGUUAAAAGCUCGUAGUUGAAUUUCGGGAUCAAAGGAUCGGUCAUGCCUUGGUAUGUACUGGUUUUAUUGGUUCUCACCUUCUAAAGAACCAUAAUGUCAUUCAUUUGAUGUUAUGGGGAAUUAGGACUGUUACCUUGAAAAAUUAGAGUGUUUAAAGCAGGCUUACGCUUGAAUACAUUAGCAUGGAAUAAUGAAAUAGGACAUCAGAUUCUAUUUUGUUGGUUUCUAGGAUCGAUGUAAUGAUUAAUAGGGGUAGUUGGGGGCAUUAGUAUUCAAUUGUCAGAGGUGAAAUUCUUGGAUUUAUUGAAGACUAACUACUGCGAAAGCAUUUGCCAAGGAUGUUUUCAUUAAUCAAGAACGAAAGUUAGGGAUCGAAGACGAUCAGAUACCGUGUAGUCUUAACCAUAAACUAUGCCGACUAGGGAUCGGAUGAUGUUAAUUUUAUAAUUGACUCAUUCGGU
RNAcentral lists this unclassified non-coding RNA (510 nucleotides) under uncultured Glomus. Its description in RNAcentral is "SSU rRNA". It matches the Rfam family "Eukaryotic small subunit ribosomal RNA", at positions 569 to 1084 of the family's 1831-position model. Lineage: Eukaryota; Fungi; Glomeromycota; Glomeromycetes; Glomerales; Glomeraceae. The record is from RNAcentral.